CCUACGGGUGGCAGCAGUAGGGAAUAUUGCUCAAUGGGGGAAACCCUGAAGCAGCAACGCCGCGUGGAGGAUGAAGGUUUUCGGAUUGUAAACCCCUUUUGUUAGAGAAGAUAAUGACGGUAUCUAACGAAUAAGCACCGGCUAACUCCGUGCCAGCAGCCGCGGUAAUACGGAGGGUGCAAGCGUUAUUCGGAAUUACUGGGCGUAAAGAGCGCGUAGGCGGGAUAGCAAGUCAGAAGUGAAAUCCUAUGGCUUAACCAUAGAACUGCAUUGGAAACUGUAAUUCUAGAGUGCGGGAGAGGUAAGUGGAAUUCUUGGUGUAGCGGUGAAAUGCGUAGAGAUCAAGAGGAACACCAAUUGCGAAGGCGGCCUACUGGAACGUAACUGACGCUGAUGCGCGAAAGCGUGGGGAGCAAACAGGAUUAGAUACCCCAGUAGUC
Molecule: ribosomal RNA, 440 nt
Filed under: uncultured bacterium
Lineage: Bacteria
Description: partial 16S ribosomal RNA
Rfam family: Bacterial small subunit ribosomal RNA
Source: RNAcentral